GACGAACGCUGGCGGCGCGCUUAACACAUGCAAGUCGAACGGAAAGGCCUGCUUUCCCUUGUGGAUUGCGGGUACUCGAGUGGCGAACGGGUGAGUAACACGUGAGUGAUCUGCCCCCAACUUGGGUAUAAGCCUGGGAAACUGGGUCUAAUUCCCGAUAGGACUGCAGGGUGGUGCCUGUGGUGGAAAACGAUUUUCUAGUGGUUGGGGAUGAGCUCGCGGCCUAUCAGCUUGUUGGUGGGGUAAUGGCCUACCAAGGCGGCGACGGGUAGCCGGCCUGAGAGGGUGGACGGCCACAUUGGGACUGAGAUACGGCCCAGACUCCUACGGGAGGCAGCAGUGGGGAAUAUUGCACAAUGGGCGGAAGCCUGAUGCAGCGACGCCGCGUGGGGGAUGACGGCCUUCGGGUUGUAAACUCCUUUCGACCGCGAGGAAGCCACCUGGUUGGAAGGGUGGUGACGGUAGUCGUAGAAGAAGCACCGGCUAACUACGUG
RNAcentral lists this ribosomal RNA (494 nucleotides) under uncultured bacterium. Its description in RNAcentral is "partial 16S ribosomal RNA". It matches the Rfam family "Bacterial small subunit ribosomal RNA", at positions 28 to 507 of the family's 1533-position model. The record is from RNAcentral.